AUCAUAAAUAAUAUGCAUGAGUUAUUUAAAAAAAAAAUGCCAGAAUUACAAUGUCCAAUAACUCAUGAACAAGCUUAAAAUGCAGCUGCAUUUUUUUUUUUGUUCCCUCAAAACUAUUGCCUCAAAAUUCCAUAGGCACAUCUUCAUAACUUUACUCCUGAAUAUCUCACAAAGGAAAACAAAGAAACAACCAAGCAGCAGAAUUGGUGCCCAAGAACAAAUAUAACAAUUAUACAUCAAAUGACUUGGUUGUAGGUAGCAAUAGGACAUUCCUAUUUGACAAGAAAACAG
Molecule: unclassified non-coding RNA, 291 nt
Filed under: Hevea brasiliensis (rubber tree)
Lineage: Eukaryota; Viridiplantae; Streptophyta; Magnoliopsida; Malpighiales; Euphorbiaceae
Source: RNAcentral